CUUAGUUUAAUUAAAAGAAUUUGUAACUUGUAAUUAUAAGGUUCAGGCUAGC
This 52-nucleotide transfer RNA is filed under the name Torquenema toraliforme. RNAcentral describes it as "tRNA-Thr". The record is from RNAcentral. Lineage: Eukaryota; Metazoa; Nematoda; Chromadorea; Rhabditida; Strongylidae.